UGGGGAAUAUUGGGCAAUGGGCGAAAGCCUGACCCAGCAACGCCGCGUGAGGGAAGAAGGCCUUCGGGUUGUAAACCUCUGUCCUUGGUGACGAAAAAAAUGACGGUAGCCAAGGAGGAAGCCCCGGCUAACUACGUGCCAGCAGCCGCGGUAAUACGUAGGGGGCGAGCGUUGUCCGGAAUUACUGGGCGUAAAGGGUGCGUAGGCGGCCGAUUAAGUUGGAUGUGAAAUACCCGGGCUUAACCUGGGGGGUGCAUCCAAUACUGGUUGGCUAGAGUGCAGGAGAGGGAAGCGGAAUUCCUAGUGUAGCGGUGAAAUGCGUAGAUAUUAGGAGGAACACCAGUGGCGAAGGCGGCUUUCUGGACUGUAACUGACGCUGAUGCACGAAAGCGUGGGGAGCAAACAGG
RNAcentral lists this ribosomal RNA (407 nucleotides) under uncultured bacterium. RNAcentral's name for it is "bacterial SSU rRNA". It matches the Rfam family "Bacterial small subunit ribosomal RNA", at positions 355 to 776 of the family's 1533-position model. The record is from RNAcentral.